GAUAAACGCUGGCGGCGCACAUAAGACAUGCAAGUUGAACGGACUUAAUCGAAAUAUUUAUAUUUUGAAGCGGUUAGUGGCGGACUGGUGAGUAACGCGUAAGGAACCUGCCUAUUAGAGGGGAAUAACAGUGAGAAAUCAUUGCUAAUACCGCAUAUGCCAUAGAUAUCACAUGAUAACAGUGGGAAAGGAGCAAUCCGCUAAUAGAUGGCCUUGCGUCUGAUUAGAUAGUUGGUGGGGUAACGGCCUACCAAGUCGACGAUCAGUAGCCGGACUGAGAGGUUGAACGGCCACAUUGGGACUGAGAUACGGCCCAGACUCCUACGGGAGGCAGCAGUCGGGAAUAUUGCGCAAUGGAGGAAACUCUGACGCAAUGACGCCGCGUAUAGGAAGAAGGUUUUCGGAUUGUAAACUAUUGUCGUUAGGGAAGAGAAAGGACAGUACCUAAGGAGGAAGCUCCGGCUAACUACGUG
RNAcentral lists this ribosomal RNA (473 nucleotides) under uncultured bacterium. Its description in RNAcentral is "partial 16S ribosomal RNA". It matches the Rfam family "Bacterial small subunit ribosomal RNA", at positions 28 to 507 of the family's 1533-position model. The record is from RNAcentral.